UACGUAGGGUGCAAGCGUUAAUCGGAAUUACUGGGCGUAAAGCGUGCGCAGGCGGUUUUGUAAGUCUGUCGUGAAAGCCCCGGGCUUAACCUGGGAACUGCAUUUGUGACUGCACGGCUAGAGUGUGUCAGAGGGGGGUAGAAUUCCACGUGUAGCAGUGAAAUGCGUAGAUAUGUGGAGGAAUACCGAUGGCGAAGGCAGCCUCCUGGGAUAACACUGACGCUCAUGCACGAAAGCGUGGGGAGCAAACAGG
This 253-nucleotide ribosomal RNA is filed under the name uncultured bacterium. Its description in RNAcentral is "partial 16S ribosomal RNA". It matches the Rfam family "Bacterial small subunit ribosomal RNA", at positions 524 to 776 of the family's 1533-position model. The record is from RNAcentral.